AAAUUGAAGAGUUUGAUCAUGGCUCAGAUUGAACGCUGGCGGCAGGCCUAACACAUGCAAGUCGAACGGUAACAGGAAGCAGCUUGCUGCUUUGCUGACGAGUGGCGGACGGGUGAGUAAUGUCUGGGAAACUGCCUGAUGGAGGGGGAUAACUACUGGAAACGGUGGCUAAUACCGCAUAACGUCGCAAGACCAAAGAGGGGGACCUUCGGGCCUCUUGCCAUCAGAUGUGCCCAGAUGGGAUUAGCUAGUUGGUGAGGUAACGGCUCACCAAGGCGACGAUCCCUAGCUGGUCUGAGAGGAUGACCAGCCACACUGGAACUGAGACACGGUCCAGACUCCUACGGGAGGCAGCAGUGGGGAAUAUUGCACAAUGGGCGCAAGCCUGAUGCAGCCAUGCCGCGUGUAUGAAGAAGGCCUUCGGGUUGUAAAGUACUUUCAGCGGGGAGGAAGGUGUUGUGGUUAAUAACCGCAGCAAUUGACGUUACCCGCAGAAGAAGCACCGGCUAACUCCGUGCCAGCAGCCGCGGUAAUACGGAGGGUGCAAGCGUUAAUCGGAAUUACUGGGCGUAAAGCGCACGCAGGCGGUCUGUCAAGUCGGAUGUGAAAUCCCCGGGCUCAACCUGGGAACUGCAUUCGAAACUGGCAGGCUUGAGUCUUGUAGAGGGGGGUAGAAUUCCAGGUGUAGCGGUGAAAUGCGUAGAGAUCUGGAGGAAUACCGGUGGCGAAGGCGGCCCCCUGGACAAAGACUGACGCUCAGGUGCGAAAGCGUGGGGAGCAAACAGGAUUAGAUACCCUGGUAGUCCACGCCGUAAACGAUGUCUACUUGGAGGUUGUGCCCUUGAGGCGUGGCUUCCGGAGCUAACGCGUUAAGUAGACCGCCUGGGGAGUACGGCCGCAAGGUUAAAACUCAAAUGAAUUGACGGGGGCCCGCACAAGCGGUGGAGCAUGUGGUUUAAUUCGAUGCAACGCGAAGAACCUUACCUGGUCUUGACAUCCACAGAACUUUCCAGAGAUGGAUUGGUGCCUUCGGGAACUGUGAGACAGGUGCUGCAUGGCUGUCGUCAGCUCGUGUUGUGAAAUGUUGGGUUAAGUCCCGCAACGAGCGCAACCCUUAUCCUUUGUUGCCAGCGAUUAGGUCGGGAACUCAAAGGAGACUGCCAGUGAUAAACUGGAGGAAGGUGGGGAUGACGUCAAGUCAUCAUGGCCCUUACGACCAGGGCUACACACGUGCUACAAUGGCGCAUACAAAGAGAAGCGACCUCGCGAGAGCAAGCGGACCUCAUAAAGUGCGUCGUAGUCCGGAUUGGAGUCUGCAACUCGACUCCAUGAAGUCGGAAUCGCUAGUAAUCGUGGAUCAGAAUGCCACGGUGAAUACGUUCCCGGGCCUUGUACACACCGCCCGUCACACCAUGGGAGUGGGUUGCAAAAGAAGUAGGUAGCUUAACCUUCGGGAGGGCGCUUACCACUUUGUGAUUCAUGACUGGGGUGAAGUCGUAACAAGGUAACCGUAGGGGAACCUGCGGUUGGAUCACCUCCUUACCUUAAAGAAGC
Molecule: ribosomal RNA, 1554 nt
Filed under: Salmonella enterica subsp. enterica serovar Muenchen
Lineage: Bacteria; Pseudomonadati; Pseudomonadota; Gammaproteobacteria; Enterobacterales; Enterobacteriaceae
Also listed under: 6 other names
Description: bacterial SSU rRNA
Rfam family: Bacterial small subunit ribosomal RNA
Source: RNAcentral